UUGACGGGGACCCGCACAAGCGGUGGAUGAUGUGGAUAAUCGAUGCAACGCGAAGAACCUUACUACCCUUGACAUGUCCGGAACUUGCCAGAGAUGGCUUGGUGCCCGAAAGGGAAUCGGAACACAGGUGCUGCAUGGCUGUCGUCAGCUCGUGUCGUGAGAUGUUGGGUUAAGUCCCGCAACGAGCGCAACCCUUAUCAUUAGUUGCUACGCAAGGGCACUCUAAUGAGACUGCCGGUGACAAACCGGAGGAAGGUGGGGAUGACGUCAAGUCCUCAUGGCCCUUAUGGGUAGGGCUUCACACGUCAUACAAUGGUCGGUACAGAGGGUUGCCAAGCCGCGAGGCGGAGCCAAUCCCAGAAAGCCGAUCGUAGUCCGGAUUGUUCUCUGCAACUCGAGAGCAUGAAGUCGGAAUCGCUAGUAAUCGCGGAUCAGCAUGUCGCGGUGAAUACGUUCCCGGGUCUU
This 465-nucleotide ribosomal RNA is filed under the name uncultured Thiobacillus sp. RNAcentral describes it as "bacterial SSU rRNA". It matches the Rfam family "Bacterial small subunit ribosomal RNA", at positions 910 to 1382 of the family's 1533-position model. The record is from RNAcentral. Lineage: Bacteria; Pseudomonadati; Pseudomonadota; Betaproteobacteria; Nitrosomonadales; Thiobacillaceae.